This 492-nucleotide ribosomal RNA is filed under the name uncultured bacterium. RNAcentral describes it as "partial 16S ribosomal RNA". It matches the Rfam family "Bacterial small subunit ribosomal RNA", at positions 29 to 507 of the family's 1533-position model. The record is from RNAcentral.
AGUGAACGCUGGCGGUAGGCCUAACACAUGCAAGUCGAACGGCAGCACAGUAAGAGCUUGCUCUUACGGGUGGCGAGUGGCGGACGGGUGAGGAAUACAUCGGAAUCUACUUUUUCGUGGGGGAUAACGUAGGGAAACUUACGCUAAUACCGCAUACGACCUACGGGUGAAAGCAGGGGAUCUUCUGACCUUGCGCGAUUGAAUGAGCCGAUGUCGGAUUAGCUAGUUGGCGGGGUAAAGGCCCACCAAGGCGACGAUCCGUAGCUGGUCUGAGAGGAUGAUCCGCCACACUGGAACUGAGACACGGUCCAGACUCCUACGGGAGGCAGCAGUGGGGAAUAUUGGACAAUGGGCGCAAGCCUGAUCCAGCCAUACCGCGUGGGUGAAGAAGGCCUUCGGGUUGUAAAGCCCUUUUGUUGGGAAAGAAAAGCAGCAGGUUAAUACCCCGCUGUUCUGACGGUACCCAAAGAAUAAGCACCGGCUAACUUCGUG